GGUGAAUUUCAAAUGAAGUUCAGUUCAGUAUUCUCUCUAGGCUCCUGGGCACAGUCUCACUCAAUCAGACUGUGAUGUGGUUGAUUGCGCUUCUUGCUUUGUAGGCAGCGUGGGUAGCUGAGAAAAAUGGGUUUUUGUUGGGAAGGCCUUUCUUUUCUGACAGGUGAAUUGUAAAGUGUUCUGGUUCAUGGGGGAACGCUAUGAGCACCAGUCUGGCAAAAAAAUGGGUGUCGAACAGGUAAGCAACUGGAACGAUCCCAUAAAUCAUCCUACGCCGUUUAAAUCGACUGCUUCAACACAUUUUCCCGGUACCCAUUUAAUCCCCACGCUGACACAUCGGCAAACAAGAGCCCGCAAUUGUUCUCCGUUAAUAUCGAAACUCAUUAUGAAUAUUUGAAACUUAUAGUCCGCCUCUCACAAUUUGCUUUUUCCCAUCGGAAAUCCGAUCCGGGAUCCAUCGAGCACAGAAAUCGAUUGACCCAUUUCCCAAAACUUACCAGCGACCAUUGCAUUGGUGGAUAGCGAGAAUCGUGUUCCUCUCCGCCGCCGCCGCCGCCAUCAGUUGACUGAUUGAAAUGGGAAAUCUUUCGGUGGAUUUCCAUCAUUUCAGCCUGGCGACAUGGUUGAGAGCUCGCGACUGUCAGCGGAUGCCCUCCCCGAAAAUCGCACUCAUUUCAACGGAAUAAGGUGAUGGAGAGCUUAAUGGGCACUGAUGCUUGGUCGAUAUGCUGCAACCGACACACAGUGGUUCCUGCUGCUUGGAAAGGUGAUCAAAAAUACAAAAUUUGUUGAAUAUCAUAUAUAUUUAUGCUUUCAAA
Molecule: long non-coding RNA, 818 nt
Organism: Aedes aegypti (yellow fever mosquito)
Lineage: Eukaryota; Metazoa; Arthropoda; Insecta; Diptera; Culicidae
Exons: 2
Source: RefSeq, a predicted model, not a curated record